Molecule: ribosomal RNA, 885 nt
Filed under: uncultured archaeon
Lineage: Archaea
Description: bacterial SSU rRNA
Rfam family: Archaeal small subunit ribosomal RNA
Source: RNAcentral
GUAUCUGGGGUUCGCUAGCCAUGCGAGUCGAUGUAGCAAUACAUGGCGUACUGCUCAGUAACACGUGGACAACCUACCCUCCGGACGGGUAUAAACCCGGGAAACUGGGUAUAAUCCCCGAUAGAUCUCGGUCGCUGGAAAGCCCCGAGAUCGAAAGCUCCGGCGCCAGAGGAUGGGUCUGCGGCCUAUCAGGUAGUAGUGGGUGUAGCGUACCUACUAGCCUACGACGGGUACGGGUUGUGAGAGCAAGAGCCCGGAGAUGGAUUCUGAGACACGAAUCCAGGCCCUACGGGGUGCAGCAGGCGCGAAAACUUUACAAUGCCGGCAACGGCGAUAAGGGGACCUCGAGUGCCAGGUUACAAAUCUGGCUGUCGUGAUGCCUAAAAAGCAUUGCAUAGCAAGGGCCGGGCAAGACCGGUGCCAGCCGCCGCGGUAACACCGGCGGCUCGAGUGGUAACCGUUAUUAUUGGGUCUAAAGGGUCUGUAGCCGGCCGGAUAAGUCUCUUGGGAAAUCUGGCAGCUUAACUGUCAGGCUUUCAGGAGAUACUGUCUGGCUCGAGGCCGGAAGAGGUGAGAGGUACUUCAGGGGUAGGGGUGAAAUCUUGUAAUCCUUGAAGGACCACCAGUAGCGAAGGCGUCUCACCAGAACGGGCCUGACGGCAAGGGACGAAAGCUAGGGGCACGAACCGGAUUAGAUACCCGGGUAGUCCUAGCCGUAAACGAUACUCGCUAGGUGUCGGCAACGGUGCGACCGUUGUCGGUGCCGUAGGGAAGCCGUGAAGCGAGCCACCUGGGGAGUACGGCCGCAAGGCUGAAACUUAAAGGAAUUGGCGGGGGAGCACCACAACGGGUGGAGCUUGCGGUUUAAUUGGAUUCAACGCCGGG